RNAcentral lists this ribosomal RNA (253 nucleotides) under uncultured bacterium. RNAcentral's name for it is "partial 16S ribosomal RNA". It matches the Rfam family "Bacterial small subunit ribosomal RNA", at positions 524 to 776 of the family's 1533-position model. The record is from RNAcentral.
UACGGAGGUCUCAAGCGUUGUUCGGAUUCAUUGGGCGUAAAGGGUGCGUAGGUGGCGCGGCAAGUCAGGUGUGAAAUCCCGGGGCUCAACCCCGGAACUGCAUUUGAAACUGCCUUGCUCGAGUACUGGAGAGGAGACUGGAAUUUACGGUGUAGCAGUGAAAUGCGUAGAUAUCGUAAGGAAGACCAGUGGCGAAGGCGAGUCUCUGGACAGGUACUGACACUGAGGCGCGAAGGCCAGGGGAGCAAACGGG